This 278-nucleotide ribosomal RNA is filed under the name Feramyces austinii. RNAcentral's name for it is "partial 28S ribosomal RNA". The record is from RNAcentral. Lineage: Eukaryota; Fungi; Neocallimastigomycota; Neocallimastigomycetes; Neocallimastigales; Neocallimastigaceae.
UGGUGCAAUGCACUUUUCGGUUAACAAGUCAACAUCAAUUUCUUUUGUUGUAAAAGGGUAAUUGGAAGGUGGCUUUCUUUUCGGAGAAAGUGUUUAUAGCCUUUUACCUCUACAAUCGGAGAGAUUGAGGUCUGCAGCGUAGAUCCUUCGGGGUUAGAUACAUUUGUGCUAAGUUAUAGCCCUGUAUAGACAACUUGUUGACUAUACUCGGUCAUGUAGCUUACUCGCUUAUGCUAUUUUACCUACGCUUAGGAUGUUGACAAAAUGGUUUUAAACGA